AGCAUCAGGGCCAGUGAGAAAUCCCAAAUGCUCAAAAUGCUGGGGUUGGGUGUUGUUCCCUGUGGAUCCCUGGGAGGCACAGGCAGGGAAAUGCUGAGGAUUCGUGUCCUGUGCCUUGCACUGCCAGGUGAAUUUUGCUUUUGGAUUUCCAGAAGCGAGUGUGCCAGCUGCUGGACACCUUUCCAGGGGAGCCUGGUGCCCAGCUCGUGGAUUGUGCCAUGGAUCUGGAUUCCAGACACAAAUUCCUGCCUGACUCUGCUGCAAAGACAAAGCACAAUUCCAUGAUUUUGGAAAAUCAUGGGAGCAAAGGCACUUCCCAGCCCUGCCCAAGAUGUGUUGCUGGAGAAUCUGGUCACUUCAGUCACAUCCUGAGCUUCUAGAAAUGGAGAAGGAGCAGAGGAGCAGCUCUGAUUUCCUGCUGGGAUCCUCAGGAUGCAUCUGGACCCUGGAUCCUGGAUCCUGGAUCCUGCCUCAGCAUCCCUCCCUGCCCUGCUGCCACUCAGGACACCCAGAUCUGCAAUUCUGCACCUGCUCAGAAUGCUCUGCUCCUCAGGAAGCUCAGGAAUUGUGUAAAAAGGACAAAAAAAGGCUGAUUUCACGGUUAGGUAGCUCAGAAUUUAUCUAAAAAGGACAAAGUAAAGCAUAUUUCAUGUACAGGUAGCUCAGAAUUUAUCUAAAAAUGACAAGAAAAGGCUGAUCUCAUGUUUAGGAAAUUCAGAAUUUGUCUGAAAAGGACAAAGUAAGGCUGAUUUCAUGUAUAGGUUGUUCAGAAUGUGUUUAAAAAGAACAAGAAAGGCUGAUUUCAUGGUUAGGUAACUCAGGAUUUGUUUAAAAAGAACAAAGUAAGGCAUAUUUCAUGUAUAGAUUAUUCAGAAUUUAUCUAAAAAGGAUUAAAAAAAUCUGAUUUCAUCUUUAGGUAGCUCAGAAUUUAUCUAAAAAGGAUAAGAAAAAGCUGAUUUAAUGGUUAGGUAGCUCAGGAUUUGUGUAAAAAGGACAAGAAAAGGCUGAUUUCAUGUGCAAGUAACUCAGAAUUUGUUUAAAAAGGCUGAUUUCAUGUUUAGGUAACUCAGAAUUUGUUUUAAAAGG
Sturnus vulgaris (Common starling) is the source of this 1086-nucleotide non-coding RNA. The record is from RefSeq and is a predicted model, not a curated record. NCBI's taxonomy places the organism in Eukaryota, Metazoa, Chordata, Aves, Passeriformes, Sturnidae.